This 775-nucleotide ribosomal RNA is filed under the name Halomonas sp. M5A-1. RNAcentral's name for it is "bacterial SSU rRNA". It matches the Rfam family "Bacterial small subunit ribosomal RNA", at positions 62 to 831 of the family's 1533-position model. Lineage: Bacteria; Pseudomonadati; Pseudomonadota; Gammaproteobacteria; Oceanospirillales; Halomonadaceae. The record is from RNAcentral.
UCGAGCGGAACGAUGGAGCUUGCUCCAGGCGUCGAGCGGCGGACGGGUGAGUAAUGCAUAGGAAUCUGCCCGGUAGUGGGGGAUAACCUGGGGAAACCCAGGCUAAUACCGCAUACGUCCUACGGGAGAAAGCAGGGGAUCUUCGGACCUUGCGCUAUCGGAUGAGCCUAUGUCGGAUUAGCUAGUUGGUGAGGUAAUGGCUCACCAAGGCGACGAUCCGUAGCUGGUCUGAGAGGAUGAUCAGCCACAUCGGGACUGAGACACGGCCCGAACUCCUACGGGAGGCAGCAGUGGGGAAUAUUGGACAAUGGGCGCAAGCCUGAUCCAGCCAUGCCGCGUGUGUGAAGAAGGCUUUCGGGUUGUAAAGCACUUUCAGUGAGGAAGAACGCCUUGGGGCUAAUACCCCCGAGGAAGGACAUCACUCACAGAAGAAGCACCGGCUAACUCCGUGCCAGCAGCCGCGGUAAUACGGAGGGUGCGAGCGUUAAUCGGAAUUACUGGGCGUAAAGCGCGCGUAGGCGGCGUGAUAAGCCGGUUGUGAAAGCCCCGGGCUCAACCUGGGAACGGCAUCCGGAACUGUCAGGCUAGAGUGCAGGAGAGGAAGGUAGAAUUCCCGGUGUAGCGGUGAAAUGCGUAGAGAUCGGGAGGAAUACCAGUGGCGAAGGCGGCCUUCUGGACUGACACUGACGCUGAGGUGCGAAAGCGUGGGUAGCAAACAGGAUUAGAUACCCUGGUAGUCCACGCCGUAAACGAUGUCGACUAGCCGUUGGGGUCC